CCUACGGGGUGCAGCAGUGGGGAAUAUUGCACAAUGGGCGAAACCCUGAUGCAGCGACGCCGCGUGAGCGAUGAAGUAUUUCGGUAUGUAAAGCCUUAUCAGCAGGGAAGAAGAUGACGGUACCUGACUAAGAAGCCCCGGCUAACUACGUGCCAGCAGCCGCGGUAAUACGUAGGGGGCAAGCGUUAUCCGGAUUUACUGGGUUUAAAGGGAGCGUAGGCGGCGAUGCAAGCCAGAUGUGAAAGCCCGGGGCUCAACCCCGGGACUGCAUUGGGAACUGUGUGGCUGGAGUGUGGGAGAGGCAGGCGGAAUGCCUGGUGUAGCGGUGAAAUGCGUAGAUAUUAGGAGGAACACCGGUGGCGAAGGCGGCCUACUGGACGAUAACUGACGUUGAGGCUCGAAAGCGUGGGGAGCAAACAGGAUUAGAUACCCGUGUAGUC
RNAcentral lists this ribosomal RNA (440 nucleotides) under uncultured bacterium. Its description in RNAcentral is "partial 16S ribosomal RNA". It matches the Rfam family "Bacterial small subunit ribosomal RNA", at positions 338 to 795 of the family's 1533-position model. The record is from RNAcentral.